This 379-nucleotide ribosomal RNA is filed under the name uncultured eukaryote. Its description in RNAcentral is "partial 18S ribosomal RNA". It matches the Rfam family "Eukaryotic small subunit ribosomal RNA", at positions 592 to 976 of the family's 1831-position model. The record is from RNAcentral.
CAAUAGCGUAUAUUUAAGUUGUUGCAGUUAAAAAGCUCGUAGUUGGAUUUUGGGUCGGGGGCACCGGUCCGCCGUUCCGGUGUGCACUGGUGGCCCCUUCCUUUCUGCCGGGGACGUGCGUCGCACUUAAUUGGGUGGCGUUCGGAGCCGGCGUUGUUACUUUGAAAAAAUUAGAGUGUUCAAAGCAAGCCAUCGCUCUGAAUACAUUAGCAUGGAAUAACAUGAUAGGACUCCGGUCUUAUUUUGUUGGUUUCCGAGACUGGAGUAAUGAUUAAGAGGGACAGUCGGGGGCAUCCGUAUUUCAUUGUCAGAGGUGAAAUUCUUGGAUUUAUGAAAGACGAACUUCUGCGAAAGCAUUUGCCAAGGAUGUUUUCAUUAA